GGCAACAGCUCAAAUUUGAAAUCUGGCCCCCUCGGGGCCCGAGUUGUAAUUUGGAGAAGAUGCUUCAGGUGUGGCCCCGGUCUAAGUUCCUUGGAACAGGACGUCACAGAGGGUGAGAAUCCCGUA
This 126-nucleotide ribosomal RNA is filed under the name Oidiodendron tenuissimum. RNAcentral describes it as "partial large subunit ribosomal RNA". It matches the Rfam family "Eukaryotic large subunit ribosomal RNA", at positions 100 to 225 of the family's 3401-position model. The record is from RNAcentral. Lineage: Eukaryota; Fungi; Ascomycota; Leotiomycetes; Myxotrichaceae.